RNAcentral lists this small RNA (24 nucleotides) under Arabidopsis thaliana (thale cress). The record is from RNAcentral. Lineage: Eukaryota; Viridiplantae; Streptophyta; Magnoliopsida; Brassicales; Brassicaceae.
AGAAUUGAGCUGACAAAAGGGAAG